RNAcentral lists this ribosomal RNA (254 nucleotides) under uncultured bacterium. RNAcentral describes it as "partial 16S ribosomal RNA". It matches the Rfam family "Bacterial small subunit ribosomal RNA", at positions 524 to 776 of the family's 1533-position model. The record is from RNAcentral.
UACGUAGGGUAGCAAGCGUUAAUCGGAAUUACUGGGCGUAAAGCGUGCGCAGGCGGUGAUGUAAGACAGAUGUGAAAUCCCCGGGCUCAACCUGGGAACUGCAUUUGUGACUGCAUCGCUGGAGUACGGCAGAGGGGGAUGGAAUUCCGCGUGUAGCAGUGAAAUGCGUAGAUAUCAGGAGGAACACCGAUGGCGAAGGCAGGUCUCUGGGCUGACACUGACGCUCAUGCACGAAAGCGUGGGGAGCAAACAGG